RNAcentral lists this ribosomal RNA (465 nucleotides) under uncultured bacterium. Its description in RNAcentral is "partial 16S ribosomal RNA". It matches the Rfam family "Bacterial small subunit ribosomal RNA", at positions 28 to 507 of the family's 1533-position model. The record is from RNAcentral.
GACGAACGCUGGCGGUGUGCUUAACACAUGCAAGUCGAACGGUAAGGCCCUUUCGGGGGUACACGAGUGGCGAACGGGUGAGUAACACGUUAGUAACCUGCCCUCAUCUCUGGGAUAACAGUCGGAAACGGUUGCUAAUACUGGAUAUGAGCCUGCAAGGCAUCUUGUGGGUUGGAAAGAUUUUUUGGUUGGGGAUGGACUCGCGGCCUAUCAGCUUGUUGGUGAGGUAGUGGCUCACCAAGGCUUCGACGGGUAGCCGGCCUGAGAGGGCGACCGGCCACAUUGGGACUGAGAUACGGCCCAAACUCCUACGGGAGGCAGCAGUGGGGAAUAUUGCACAAUGGACGGAAGUCUGAUGCAGCAACGCCGCGUGCGGGAUGACGGCCUUCGGGUUGUAAACCGCUUUCAAUUGUGACGAAGCUUUUUGUGACGGUAGCAGUAGAAGAAGCACCGGCUAACUACGUG